UGGCUAAUGGGCCGAGCUGCCGAGGCACAAGUUCAUAUCGGCUCCUUUUGUUCACCGCGUCUUUCUGCCUCGCUUAUGAUUUAUUGUAUGUUUUGUCCUUUUUCUCUGUUUUCGUUUGUGUGAAGCAUCAGGAGCAAAAAGCCACUUGCCGCGUUUUUCAGCUUUAUUUUCUUUCUGCUCGUCUCUUUGUGUGAAUAUUUUACGCUUUGAAGAUGAGACACGGGGGCCGCAGAAACGCAUCAAAUCAAACCGCCCACAGACCUCAGAACCGACGCCACGCUCGGCCCCUAACGGAGAGGUGAAGCGCUUUCUAUUCAUCUCGUCUGACCGUAAUACGUGACUUACAGGUCACGGAUUUUUACGUGACCUGUAAGUGGAUUUCUCUGCCCCCCCCGGGGGGUCCUUACGUUAAAUGGUAAACCUGGAGAUGGAACCGCGGUCCUCCGCCUGAGGCGUGACCUCGUCCUCCGCCUGAGGCGUUGUACUCCCGCUGAACACUUACUACAGUACUACAGUACCUCGAUAUUCGCCGUUUGUACACGUCUGUGCGGUAGAUGACCUGUUAACCCCCAGCUGAGCAGGUGUGGUAAUUGAAACGACGAGAGGAGCCGGAGAAAAAACGAGAUUCGUGUUACGUGUGAGAAGUAGAUCGACAGGCGGCUCCUCACCGAUCCGACGGUGUUUGUACUUCUUCAUGCUUCAUGUUUCUGACAUUCACGCUGACAUUUCAAGAGAAAAUGUAAUAAAACGCUUAUGUUUGAUUUCUAUUAUGAAUCCGAUUGAAAAAUGGAGAAAUUCUUCGAGACGCUCGACGUUGCAGGAACUGAUCGGGAGGACCGGCUGGAGAAGACCCGCGACUGGAAGAAGGGGUCAAAGGUCAGAGGAGCUCAUGCUGCAGGUCUCCAGCCGCUCUGCACACAUUAAAGUUACCAACUCUAUAAAUAUCCGCCUCGUUCAUCGUGGACGGUUUGGUCCUCACGGAAAUAUUGGAAUAUUACAACGAGGAGAAGACGUCCACGGGAACGUCUCUGGAGAGAACGAGGAGAAGACGUCCACGGGAACGUCUCUGGAGAGAACGAGGAGAAGACGUCCACGGGAACGUCUCUGGAGAGAAUGAUGAGAAGACGUCCACGGGAACGUCUCUGGAGAGAACGAGGAGAAGACGUCCACGGGAACGUCUCUGGAGAGAAUGAUGAGAAGACGUCCACGGGAACGUCUCUGGAGAGAACGAGGAGAAGACGUCCACGGGAGGUGUCAGGGAUGUUGCGUAUGGAAAAAGGCAGGACUCAAACACAGAGUUCGAAAACAAAAAGGACUUUAAUAGUCAAAACGGGCAAAAACACACAGGAACAGGGGGCAUAAAGGCAGACAGGAGCGAGGGACAUCCAGGACGAUUGACAACGACGCGACAAGUGACACAAGAGACACACGGCUUAAAUACACUAGGGAGGUGCAGGUGAUUGGACACAGGUGGAAACGAUCAGACAAUCACAGGGGACGACAGGACCAGGCAGGAAGUGAAGUUACCCGGGGACAAGAAGCAGAAAACUAAACUAAAACCACACCGUGACAGGAGAGACAGACAAAGUCACACACAUGAUAAACUCAGCCGAACAAUUUCUCUCACACACACACUCACGCACACACACACACACUAUCAGGUCACGGACCAUCAGAAGAAAUGCAGCGAUGCCACGACGUCCUCAGCGAACUGCAGACAGACAGAGACAGAAAUGUCCCCCUCAGCUGUGUGUGCAGGCUUCUUACAAACAGGAGAACUGGGGACCUGAACUGGUGUCACAAUCACACUGAGACGAGCGCACACACACACACACGCACGCACACACACACGCACACACACACGCACCCACACACGCACACACACACGCACACACACACGCACAGCGAUGGGUCAGUGGAAUGGAGUCCUCUCGCUCUUUCCUUUUGUAUCGAGCGGAUGAGAAACAAGUGCAAACAGGAUCCGCUCAGAUCGACAUUGAUCUGGUUUCUCUGCUUGUGACUCCGUGUUUGUGUCUGUUUGCCGUCAUCACUUUGUCUCACUGGGUGUGUGUUCCACACGCGUGUGCCUCACAAUCCCCACGUGUUCCUGCCCGUGCACGCAGGUGUGUGUUUGUGUGUUUUCAUUCCACUAAUGGCUAGGAGUGUGUGUGUGUGUGUGUGGUCACGGUUGUGCGUGUUAUGUUGUAUCAACGGAUGCAUGUGUGUAUUCCGUGAGUCUCUGUAGGCAACAAAUGAUUGUUGAAGGUCACAUCCAAUCAGGAGCAAGGCUGCCUGGAUAGAACGAGAUGCAUGGAGAUGUAUGCAGGGCAGGGAUUCAAACAUAUAUGUUUCAAUUCACAUAUAUGUUUAUAUGCACAUGAAUGUGUAUAUAUUAGUUUUUUGUUUGGUACUUCUGAUACCAAAUUGUAAUUUAAUCCAGUCAGAAGUUCGGACACUUUCUCACUUAUUCGAAUGAGAAAAUGUCCACAGAGAAGAUUAAAGCACGAGAGGGAACUUUCUGUACGCUGCCGCCACAAGAACUCACCACACAACGCGAUCAUCAGGGUUGCAUCUCUAGUUCAAAGUAUUCUGUGCAACUGUCAGGGAAUUGACAUUAAUAAUAACCCUUCUGGACUCGAUGUUUCUACCCAUUAGUGAACAAAGCAGCGAGGACUCGUACCAUGGUUUGAUAUUAAAUACUACAAUCCAAUUCUUCUAUAUAUAUAUUUCUUGUCUUAAUUGAUUCUCACUAAAGAAGCGUUUGCAGGUCGUCGCUCUGCUUCCCCGGAGGAGCAGGAUGAAGUUCUUUCACCCUGAACCUUCACGUUGUUGCUGGUGGUGACUUUGCAUUUGUCAGGUUUCUCUCGGCUUCCUGUCGUACAUUCAGUCUGAAGGCUCCUUCCUUCACGGAUUGUAAGUGUGGCUCCAUAUUUCUGCGUGAUUAAAUGUGUGUUUGCGUAGGAGGAGGAGGAAGAGGAGGAGGAGGAGGAAGAGGGAGGUCAUAACCCAUUACUCACAGCUCUCUGUGUUUACUCUCAUCUAAUAGGAAAAACAACAUUGAUGCUUCCACCACAUUAUAAAUCGAUAUAUUACUCAAACGAGUUAUAAAUCAGGCUGCCGUGGCUUCGCCGGAGCAAUGGACUCUUCUGCAUUGAUUCCUUCACAGAUUUAAUAACAGCGUAGAGGAUCACUGGGCUGCAAUGUGAAGUGGAUGUAAUCACACCUCGGCCCAUUAAACGGGCCUCUGGCCUGGUGCUCGGUCGGCUGCCGGCCUCCGGGGGCCUCCGGGGGCCUCGGCCUGUGAACACCAUCGUUGCUUGGUGCGCGUCCGGGACGUCCCCGAUAUCGCUGAUAACUCAAAUCCCCGGGAGGACGCGUUCUCGGCAUCGAGCGUCGACUCAAAAUACGCAAUCAUGUCGUGAUUUAAUAGAAAAUAAUCGGACGAAAAGGAUCGUUUUUGUGACGGUGUGCGAGGAAGUUCUUCCCCCUCGUUGUUCUCCUGGUAGCCUCUGGUCAAAACGCAACCAAGCCACUGAGUACGUGAACCGAUCCAAAUAUCACUAAAGUCAUCGACACAAGCGCUUAACGGAAUAACACAGCGGCAUUUGUGCUCAUGACUGAUCAGCGAUCUGACAUCCACAUGUGGCCGUGGCUCAAAUCUCAUCUCAUCUCUAAUGAGGAGAAACGUGUUCACGUGGAUCACAAGCAGAACGCAGAUGUUUCCCUCAGGAGGCGCGAUGACAACAACAACAACAACAACAACAAAACGAGGAGAAAACUGUCACUUCAAACAACGUAUGUGGAGAUAAUUAGCAAACCCAAACAUUUUGGACACCUCGCCAAUCGUCUUUCAUGUCGGUGUUCCAGAGAAGUGGAGACAGAUUGAGGGAUGCAGAUAGAUGGAGAGACUCACUCUGGAGGUCCAACGCUGCAACGCAGAUGCUGGUUUAUUAUGUUUCAUAUUGGAUCUUUUUAAAAUUUCACUCACUGAAAAGAGAUGAAUGUCUCUGCUUCAUUUCACAUAAAAGAUGUUUCAUUAGUCCGUGAAGAACGUCUGCGUUUUGUGUCUUGAAACAAAAGGUGGACGUGGAGCUUUAAGGUCGGCGAGGACACGUCGUCGCUAAUCUGAUUGGACGUCGAGUCUGUGAGUGUGAGGAAUCGGUUCCUUCCUCCCCGAGUAGCUGUGAAUGAACCCAAAGAUCAACAUGACAUCUUAAUUUCCCCAGCGUGUUUCUCUUCAAUCUCCGUCACUCGCCCUUUAUUCUGCCUUUAAGUCCCACUGUCGCUCUCGCUCUUUGUCUCUCACGCACUGAUUCGCAGUCUGUUUCCGUCCUGCCACUCAAACUGAAAACCACACGGCCGCCUGUCCGGCCAAGGCUCGAAGCUAACGGUGCUAACGGCACUUAUGGUGGCAACGGUGCUAACGGCGCUUAUGAAGGUAACGGUGCUAACGGCGCUUAUGGAGGUAACGGUGCUAACGACGUUUAUGGAGGUAACGGUGCUAACAGGGCUUAUGGAGGUAACGGUGCUAACGGCACUUAUGGAGGUAACGGUGCUAACAACGUUUAUGGAGGUAACGGUGCUAACGGCGCUUAUGAAGGUAACAGUUCGCCCGCUCAUCUCAUGUUUAAUGCGACUUCUCUGACUGAGCAGAGUUUAUUAAAUCAACGGUUCCUUGCGUCAAGGAGGCCCAUCAGGUCUGAAAGGAGAUCAGUAAUAAACCAAAUGGUAAUUGUGUUGCAUCUCCAUGCCAAUAACUACAGACACAAAAGACGCACAAAAAGCCGACCGAGAGACACACACCAGACAUAAAAAAUGACUGAAUGAAUUCAGAGGUCCAAACUUCUGUAAUAAUAUGCAUCAUGACUACGAGACGCUGUCUCCCUCCCACACUGUCUCUCGCCCUCUUUCUCUCUCUCAGACACAUUUUUCUGGGGGCGAACAAGUUUGCUGCCUUGCUCAAAGGCUUCUAAAGAAGUAAACCACCCACCUUCUGGUCCCUGGCUCCCAGUGGGAGAGAAACACUGAGGGGCGGUGGGGUGGGGGGCUCCCGGGCGACUCCGGAUGUCCAAUUUUUCAUGACUUUAUAAUUUGCAGAAUGUGGCAUUUGAGACUUCCUACGGGGGUGUUUUGUAUUCCCACCAUCACUCUCGCUCUGUGCGCGGUUCGAUUUUUAACAUUUGGCAGCAUAUUAUUCAAUGUGAGCGAAAACAGCGCUCAUAUUUAAUCAUGAACCAACUUCCUAUUCAUGCAAAUGAAUGUUCCACUCUGCUUCCUGCGUCUGAAAUAAAGACCCAUCUGUAUUUUUAUAAAGACGUCUCUGGGUGAAGUAUUCAUUUAUUAGCAUGAACUCACACACACACUGUCCUUCAUUUGGACUCAACACCGUCCUGCUGCCCCACAAACUCACUGAACAAUAAUCACAUCACGUCUGAGAGGAACCCGACGAAAACACCACGGCUCCCGUUUGAGAACUGCAGCGACCAGCGGCUGAAAAUAAGCCUUUUGAAAAAUAAAUAACAAGAUUGAGAUUACAAAUUUGAAUAAUUUCAAUGGAAAAAAAGACGGUUGAAGCUCAUUAAUGUGUCAGUUUUGUUAAAGCUACGAAUGGUAACUUUAGUAAAAAUACACAUUUGCUCACAUUUACUUCGUGAACUGGUCCUGAGAGCAUUACACUCCAGGUGUGAGGUCUCAACCCCGGCGUGGCAGCAGGAGGCCGCGUCCUCCGGAGCCAAUCAGCAGAAUUCUAAACAACUGCGAGGGAGGACGCGUCCCCCCGGAGCCAAUCACCGAAAUUCGGAACACCCACGAGAGGACCUAUAAGAGCAGGCCGACGCAGCGACUGAGUUGUGAGGUAUUAUGACUACGCGUCUUUGCUGAUCCCCUUUGUUUCGCUGCCCCUGAAUUCCCGCGUAUUGACCUUCCGCCUCUCGACCACGAACCUGCCUUCUCCCUGGACCAGGUCCAUCUUUUGCCAUCCCGUGUCCCCGAACCUCUGCCCGUCCCCGGAUUCCCCGUUUAGCCUCAUCCCUUGAGACUACAGUUGCCUGUCGUCCCUAAAUAAACAUUGAGCGCUGUGCUUUUGGGUCUGAGUCGGUCUGCAGAGUCCAUUCCUCACACCAGGGUUAGAACACUUGGGAUUAGAUGUCUCUUUGGGUCAUGAAUCAGAAAACACCAACGAGCAUGUUUUGCU
This is a long non-coding RNA of Gasterosteus aculeatus aculeatus (three-spined stickleback), 6193 nucleotides long. Lineage: Eukaryota; Metazoa; Chordata; Actinopteri; Perciformes; Gasterosteidae. The record is from Ensembl.